This 253-nucleotide ribosomal RNA is filed under the name uncultured bacterium. RNAcentral describes it as "partial 16S ribosomal RNA". It matches the Rfam family "Bacterial small subunit ribosomal RNA", at positions 524 to 776 of the family's 1533-position model. The record is from RNAcentral.
UACGGGGGGGGCAAGCGUUGUUCGGAUUCAUUGGGCGUAAAGGGUGCGUAGGCGGCGCGGUAAGUCGGGUGUGAAAUCUCGGAGCUUAACUCCGAAACUGCAUUCGAUACUACCGUGCUUGAGGACUGGAGAGGAGACUGGAAUUUACGGUGUAGCGGUGAAAUGCGUAGAUAUCGUAAGGAAGACCAGUGGCGAAGGCGGGUCUCUGGACAGUUCCUGACGCUGAGGCACGAAGGCCAGGGGAGCAAACGGG